GGAACCCGCCUUCGGGCGGGGAGUAGAGUGGCGAACGGGUGAGUAACGCGUGGGUGAUCUGCCCUUCAGAGGGGGAUAACCCGCCGAAAGGCGGGCUAAUACCGCAUGAGCCUGCAGGGUCGCAACUGCAGGGAAAAGCGAAAGUUGCUGAAGGAGGAGCCCGCGUCCGAUUAGCUAGUUGGAGAGGUAAGAGCUCCCCAAGGCGACGAUCGGUAGCCGGUCUGAGAGGACGGACGGCCACACUGGGACUGAGACACGGCCCAGACUCCUACGGGAGGCAGCAGUGGGGAAUUUUGGGCAAUGGGCGAAAGCCUGACCCAGCAACGCCGCGUGGAGGACGAAGAUCUUCGGGUCGUAAACUCCUGUCCGAAGGGACGAAGACAGUGACGGUACCUUUGGAGGAAGCCCCGGCUAACUCCGUGCCAGCAGCCGCGGUAAUACGGGGGGGGCAAGCGUUGUUCGGAAUUACUGGGCGUAAAGGGCGCGUAGGCGGUUUCGGUAGUCAUGGGUGAAAGCCCCCGGCUCAACCGGGGAAUGGCCUGUGAAACCACGGGACUGGAGUGCUGGAGAGGGAAGCGGAAUUCCCAGUGUAGCGGUGAAAUGCGUAGAUAUUGGGAGGAACACCGGAGGCGAAGGCGGCUUCCUGGACAGACACUGACGCUGAGGCGCGAAAGCCAGGGGAGCAAACGGGAUUAGAUACCCCGGUAGUCCUGGCUGUAAACGAUGAACACUUGGUGUGGGGGGUAGGACGAAUCCCUCCGUGCCGGAGAUAACUCGAUAAGUGUUCCGCCUGGGGAGUAC
Molecule: ribosomal RNA, 801 nt
Filed under: uncultured bacterium
Lineage: Bacteria
Description: bacterial SSU rRNA
Rfam family: Bacterial small subunit ribosomal RNA
Source: RNAcentral